This 480-nucleotide ribosomal RNA is filed under the name uncultured bacterium. RNAcentral's name for it is "partial 16S ribosomal RNA". It matches the Rfam family "Bacterial small subunit ribosomal RNA", at positions 28 to 523 of the family's 1533-position model. The record is from RNAcentral.
GACGAACGCUGGCGGCGUGCCUAACACAUGCAAGUCGAGCGAGUGAAUCUCCUUCGGGAGUGAAGCUAGCGGCGGACGGGUGAGUAACACGUGGGCAACCUGCCUCAUAGAGGGGAAUAGCCUUUCGAAAGGAAGAUUAAUACCGCAUAAGAUUGUAGCUUCGCAUGAAGUAGCAAUUAAAGGAGCAAUCCACUAUGAGAUGGGCCCGCGGCGCAUUAGCCAGUUGGUGAGGUAACGGCUCACCAAGGCGACGAUGCGUAGCCGACCUGAGAGGGUGAUCGGCCACAUUGGGACUGAGACACGGCCCAGACUCCUACGGGAGGCAGCAGUGGGGAAUAUUGCACAAUGGGGGAAACCCUUAUGCAGCAACGCCGCGUGAGUGAUGACGGCCUUCGGGUUGUAAAGCUCUGUCUUCAGGGACGAUAAUGACGGUACCUGAGGAGGAAGCCACGGCUAACUACGUGCCAGCAGCCGCAGUAA